UGGAGCAAUCCAUGAGUAAAGCGGCGCACGGGUGAGUAACACGUGACUAACCUACCCUCGAGUGGGGAAUAACUUCGGGAAACCGAGGCUAAUACCGCAUAAUACCCACGGGUCAAAGGAGCAAUUCGCUUGAGGAGGGGGUCGCGGCCGAUUAGUUAGUUGGCAGGGUAACGGCCUACCAAGACGAUGAUCGGUAUCCGGCCUGAGAGGGCGCACGGACACACUGGAACUGAAACACGGUCCAGACUCCUACGGGAGGCAGCAGUGGGGAAUUUUGCGCAAUGGGGGAAACCCUGACGCAGCAACGCCGCGUGGAGGAUGAAGUCCUUCGGGACGUAAACUCCUUUCGAUCGGGACGAUAAUGACGGUACCGGAAGAAGAAGCCCCGGCUAACUUCGUGCCAGCAGCCGCGGUAAUACGAGGGGGGCGAGCGUUGUUCGGAAUUAUUGGGCGUAAAGGGUGCGUAGGCGGUUUGGUAAGUCUCGUGUGAAAUCUACAGGCUCAACUUGUAGUCUGCACGAGAAACUGCCGGGCUUGAGUGUGGGAGAGGUGAGUGGAAUUCCUGGUGUAGCGGUGAAAUGCGUAGAUAUCAGGAGGAACACCUGUGGCGAAAGCGGCUCACUGGACCAUAACUGACGCUGAUGCACGAAAGCUAGGGGAGCAAACAGGAUUAGAUACCCUGGUAGUCCUAGCCCUAAACGAUGACUGCUUGGUUGUUGGCGGGUACCCAAUCCCGCCGUGCCGUAGCUAACGCGUUAAGCAGUCCGCCUGGGGAGUACGGUCGCAAGGCUGAAACUC
RNAcentral lists this ribosomal RNA (798 nucleotides) under uncultured Pseudomonadota bacterium. RNAcentral's name for it is "bacterial SSU rRNA". It matches the Rfam family "Bacterial small subunit ribosomal RNA", at positions 75 to 902 of the family's 1533-position model. Lineage: Bacteria; Pseudomonadati; Pseudomonadota. The record is from RNAcentral.